AACAGGAUUAGAUACCCUGGUAGUCCACGCCGUAAACGAUGUCGACUUGGAGGCUGUUCCCUUGAGGAGUGGCUUCCGGAGCUAACGCGUUAAGUCGACCGCCUGGGGAGUACGGCCGCAAGGUUAAAACUCAAAUGAAUUAACGGGGGCCCGCACAAGCGGUGGAGCAUGUGGUUUAAUUCGAUGCAACGCGAAGAACCUUACCUACUCUUGACAUCCACGGAACUUAGCAGAGAUGCUUUGGUGCCUUCGGGAACCGUGAGACAGGUGCUGCAUGGCUGUCGUCAGCUCGUGUUGUGAAAUGUUGGGUUAAGUCCCGCAACGAGCGCAACCCUUAUCCUUUGUUGCCAGCGAUUCGGUCGGGAACUCAAAGGAGACUGCCAGUGAUAAACUGGAGGAAGGUGGGGAUGACGUCAAGUCAUCAUGGCCCUUACGAGUAGGGCUACACACGUGCUACAAUGGCGCAUACAAAGAGAAGCGACCUCGCGAGAGCAAGCGGACCUCAUAAAGUGCGUCGUAGUCCGGAUUGGAGUCUGCAACUCGACUCCAUGAAGUCGGAAUCGCUAGUAAUCGUAGAUCAGAAUGCUACGGUGAAUACGUUCCCGGGCCUUGUACACACCGCCCGUCACACCAUGGGAGUGGGUUGCAAAAGAAGUAGGUAGCUUAACCUUCGGGAGGGCGCUUACCACUUUGUGAUUCAUGACUGGGGUGAAGUCGUAACAAGGUAACCGUAGGGGAACCUGCGGCUGGAUCACCUCCUU
This 761-nucleotide ribosomal RNA is filed under the name uncultured bacterium. RNAcentral's name for it is "bacterial SSU rRNA". It matches the Rfam family "Bacterial small subunit ribosomal RNA", at positions 771 to 1532 of the family's 1533-position model. The record is from RNAcentral.